GCCGUAAGUGGUCAACUAAGUGGUCAAGCCACUUCAGAGCAACAUAAAGCUGAUCUCUGCGCCAGUGGUUUUGUAAACAGCUGGCCGUCAGUUCGAAUCUGACCGUCGGCUCCA
Molecule: transfer RNA, 114 nt
Filed under: Actinomycetota bacterium
Lineage: Bacteria; Bacillati; Actinomycetota
Description: tRNA-Ser
Source: RNAcentral